RNAcentral lists this long non-coding RNA (554 nucleotides) under Lynx pardinus (Iberian lynx). Lineage: Eukaryota; Metazoa; Chordata; Mammalia; Carnivora; Felidae. The record is from RNAcentral.
UCCAGACUCGUGGUGGGAGCCCCCCUGGAGGUGGUGGCGGUCAACCGGACAGGACGGUUGUAUGACUGUGCAGCUGCCACUGGCCUAUGUCAACCUAUAUCACUGCACAGUGAGUGACUCCACCUGGGAAUUGGGGCCCUCAAUCCUCCUGUACAAGAAUGUCUCUCUUUGGCCUCUAGUCCUGAUUCUCCCCCCAAAUGAGGGUGUGCCCAUGAGUAUGAUCAUGUGUAUCUGCCCUCAGCACCACCAGAGGCCGUGAACAUGUCCCUGGGCCUGUCCCUGGCAGCCUCCACCAAUCGCUCCUGGCUGCUGGUGAGUUUCUCUGGGUCAUAGAAGGGUCACAAGGGCAGGAUCAGGGGCCAGAGGAGGCUUGGGCUGGGGGAGAAGAAUAUGGAGAAUUCUGGGGCCCCUUUGCUCACACAGGUCUCUGCCUCUAGGCCUGCGGCCCAACCAUGCACAGAGCCUGUGGGGAGAAUAUGUAUGCAGAAGGCUUUUGCUUCCUGUUGGGCUCCCACCUGCAGACCAUUCGGACAGUGCCUGCUGCCCUGCCAAGU